ACUUUUAACAAUAGAUCUCUUAGUUCUAGCAUUAAUAAAGAACAUAGGGAAAUGCGAUAAGUAGUAUAAAUUGCAGAAUUUAGUAAAUUAAAAUCUUUAAACGCACAUUGCGCCCCUUAGUAUUCUAUAGGGCAUGCCUGUUUAAGCGUUAUUUGUACCCUUAAGCUCUACUUAGUGUUAGGUGUUUGUUCUACUUAGGACUCGCCUUAAAACAAUUAGUAGCUAGCACAUUAGCCUAGAGCGCAGCACAUUUUGCGCCUCUUAUUAUAGUUAUUAGUAUCUAUUAAGACACUUUUUAAGCUCUUAACCUUAGAUUAGGUAGGGAUACCUGCUAAACUUAAGCAUAUUAAUAAGCAGAGGAAAAGAAACUAAUAGGGAUUGCCCUAGUAACAGCAAAUAAAGUGGCAAUAGCUUAAAUUUAAAAUCUAGCUCUUUUAGGGUCUAAGUUGUAAUUUGCAGAGGGCGCUUUAGCGUUAGCAGCGGUCUAAGUUCCUUAGAAUAGGAUGUUAUAGAGGGUAAGAAUCCUAUACGUAGUUGCUAGCCUUUGCCGUGUAAAGCCCCUUUAACAAGUUAAGUUAUUUAGGAAUAUAGUUCUAAAUAGGAGGUAAAUUUCUUCUAAAGCUAAAUACUAGCUAGAGACUAAUAGCGCACAAGUAGAGUAAUUAAAAGAUAAAAAGCACUUUAGAAAGAGAGUUAAAUAGCACGUGAAAUUGUUAAAAGGGAAGCGCUUGCAGCUAGACUUACCUAUAGUUACUUAUCUAGGCUUUUAUCUAGUGCACUCUUCUAUAGGCAGGCUAGUAUUAGUUUAGGUAGUUAGAUAAAGGUCUCUAUUACGUACCUCCCUUUAGGGAGGCCUUAUAGGGGAGACGACAUGCAACUAGCCUAGACUAAGGUCCGCGUAUCUGCUAGGAUGCUAGCGUAAUAGCUAUAAGCGGCCCAUCUUAAAACAUAGACUAAGGAGUCUAAUAUCUAUACAAGUGUUUAGGUGUUAAGCCUAGACGCGUAAUAAAAGUGAACAGAGGUAGGACCCCUUUUAGGGUGCACUAUUAACUAAUCCUAAUAUCUUUAGAAGGAUUUAAGUAAGAGCAUAGCUAUUAGGACCUAAAAGAUAGUGAACUAUACUUAAAUAGGGUAAAGCUAGAGGAAACUCUAGUAGAGGCUCGCAGCAGUUCUAACGUGCAAAUUAAUUAUUAAAUUUAGGCAUAGGGGCAAAAGACUAAUUAAACUAUCUAGUAGCUAGUUCCUACUAAAGUUUCCCUUAGGAUAGCAGUAACGUAUUUAGUUUUAUAAGGUAAAGCGAAUAAUUAGAGGCCUAGGGGUUAAAAUAACCUUUACCUAUUCUUAAACUUUAAAUAUAUAAGAAGUCCUUGUUACUUAAUUAAACGUAGACACUUGAAUGUACUGUUACUAGUAGGCUAUUUUUAGUAAGCAGAACUAGUAAUACAGAAUAAACUAAACGUGGGGUUAAGGUGCUAGAAUACACGCUUAUUAGACACCACAAAAGGUGUUAGUUUAUCUAGACAGCAGGAUAGUAGCUAUAGAAGUUAGAAUCUACUAAGGAGUGUGUAAUAACUUACCUGCUAAAUAAACUAGCCCUAAAAAUAGAUGGCGCUUAAGCGUGUUACCUAUACCCUGCUGCUAGGGCAAGAUUUAAGCCCUAGCAAGUAGGCAGGCGUAGAGGCUUGUGACAAAGCCUUAGGGGUAACCCUAGGUAGAAUAGCCUCUAGUGUAGAUCUUAGUAGUAGUAGUAAAUACUUAAAUAAGAACUUUAAGGACUAAAGUAGGGAAAGGUUCUGUAUAAACAGCAGUUAGACAUAGGUUAGUUAAUCCUAAGAGAUAGGGUAAUUCUAUUUUAAUAUUAGCGCUUACGCCACGCCCUUAAAAGGGAAGCUAGUUAAUAUUCUAGCACCUAGAUAUAGAUUCUCUGCGGCAACACAACUAAGAGCGGAGACCUUAGCAGGAGCCCUAAGAAGAGUUCUCUUUUCUUCUUAAUAGUCUAUUACCCUAAAAUUAGUUUGUCUAGAGCUAGGGUUUAAUAGCUAGAAGAGCGCUGCACUUUUACAGCGUUUAGUGCGCUCCUAAUAAGCCUUAAAAAUCUGCUUAAAGAAAUAGUUUUUACGCUAGGUUAUACUUAUAACUAUAGUAGGUCUCUAAGGUAAAAAGCCUCUAGUUAAUAGAAUAAUAUAGAUAAGGGAAGUUAGCAAAAUAGAUCUAUAACUUUAGGAAAAGGAUUAGCUCUAAGGGUUAGGUACGUUAGGCCUUAGGGAGAAGCCUCUAGCGCAGAAGGGCACUAACUGUAAGGUAGGCGCCUCUUAGCGCUAGGGUGCAGACACCCUUAGCAGGUUUUAGCUGUCUAGCGUACGUUUAACAACUAACUUAGAACUAGUAUAAAUAAGGGGAAUCUAACUAUCUAAUUAAAAUAUAGCAUUAUAAUAGCUAGAAAGUAGUAUUAAUAUAAUGUGAUUUCUGCCUAGUGCUCUAAAUAUUAAAGCAAAGAGAUUUGACUAAGCGUGGGUAAACAGCAGGAGUAACUAUAACUCUAUUAAGGUAGCUAAAUGCCUUAUUAUCUAAUUAGUAACGCGUAUAAAUAGAUUAACAAGAUUCCUACUAUCCUUAUCUACUAUCUAGCAAAACCAUAGCUAAGGGAACAGGCUUGGCUAAAUUAGCAGGGAAAGAAGACCCUAUUAAGCUUAACUCUAGUUUAACAUUAUAAAAAGAUAUAGGGGGUGUAGAAUAGGUAGGAGCUUUAGCGCUAGUAAAAUACCACUACCCUUAUCGUUUUUUUACUUAUUUAAUAAAGCAGAGCUAGGCCUUACUACCUAACUUCUAGCGUUUAAGGUCCUUUGUAGGCUAAUCUAGGUUAAAGAUAUUAUUAGGUAGGGAGUUUAGCUAGGGCGGCAUAUCUAUUAAACUAUAACGCAGGUGUCCUAAGGGGGACUUAUAGAGAAUAGAAAUCUCUAGUAGAGCAAAAGGGUAAAAGUCCCCUUAAUUUUAAUUUUUAGUGUGAAUACAAACUAUAAAAGUAUAGCCUAUUAAUCCUUUAGUCCCUUAAAAUUUAAGGCUAGAGGUGCUAGAAAAGUUACUAUAGGGAUAACUAGCUUGUGGCAGCCAAGCGUUUAUAGCAACGUUGCUUUUUAAUCCUUUAAUAUUAGCUCUUUCUAUUAUACUAAAGUAGAAUUUAGUAAGCGUUAGAUUGUUUACCCACUAAUAGGGAACGUAAGCUGGGUUUAGACCGUUGUGAGACAGGUUAGUUUUACCCUACUAAUAACCUUGCCCUAAUAGUAAUACUGCUUAGUACAAGAGGAACCGCAGUUUUAGAUAAUUAGUUUUUGCGGCUGUCUAACUAGGUAUUGCCGCAAAGCUACUAUCUGCUAGAUUAUAGCUAAACGCCUCUAAGUUAGAAUCUAUGCUAGAAUAGGGUAAUUUCUACCUGCACUAGUUAGAUAUAAAUAGGCCUUUGGCCUAGAACCUUACUAGAUUAGCGUUAGCAGCCCUAUUAAAGUUAGAGUUAUUAGCUAGUGUAUUACAAUUAUAUAGUGCGCAGGAUUAAAUCCUUUAUAGAUAACUUAGUUGUCUGGCUAGGUCGUGUAAGUAGUUAAGUAGCCUUGUUGUUACGAGCUACUAAGCGUAAACCUGUUGCUAGCUUAGUUAAAAUUAGGAUAUUAUACCCUCCUUAUUUGCAAAACUGCUGCCUAAAAUUUUAGCCUGACUAUUAGUAUAGAAGGAAGAGGGCUAUAGCUAACAUGUUAUAUAGCAAUUGUAAGAUAGCGAGGGCUAGAGCUAGAAGCAAUCCUUACAAAAUAUACAAAAGAACAGGUUAUGUGUGUACGUACCUUAGGCAGUUAAAUUAUAGUAUAUAAAGAUUAAGAAAGGACAUAAAAUAAUCUAUACAUAUUUAUAGGCGGUGUUCUAUAACUUAGGGCGUUCUAUAACCCUUUAUUUUUUAGGGGUAGUGUUCUAUAACUUAGGGCGUUCUAUACUUAAAAAAUCUUAUAGGCUAUUCUAUAACUAUAGAUUAUUCUAAACCUUUAGGGCAUUCUAUUAAUGUUUUAAAAAAUCUAGUAGGCUAUUUUAUAAGCUUAUAGCGUUCUAUAACUUUAGGGCGUUCUAUAACUUAGGGCGUUCUAUAACUUUUUACUUCUUAGGGGUAGUGUUCUAUAACUUAGGGCGUUCUAUAACUUUUUACUUCUUAGGGGUAGUGUUCUAUAACUUAGGGCGUUCUAUACUUAAAAAAUCUUAUAGUGUAUUCUAUAACUAUAGAUUAUUCUAAACCUUUAGGGCAUUCUAUUAAUAUUUUAAAAAAUCUACUAGGCUAUUUUAUAAGCUUAUAGCGUUCUAUAACUUUAGGGCGUUCUAUAACUUAGGGCGUUCUAUAACUUAGGGCGUUCUAUAACUUUUUACUUCUUAGGGGUAGUGUUCUAUAACUUAGGGCGUUCUAUACUUAAAAAAUCUUAUAGGCUAUUCUAUAACUAUAGAUUAUUCUAAACCUUUAGGGCAUUCUAUUAAUGUUUUAAAAAAUCUAGUAGGCUAUUUUAUAAGCUUAUAGCGUUCUAUAACUUUAGGGCGUUCUAUAACUUAGGGCGUUCUAUAACUUAGGGCGUUCUAUAACUUUUUACUUCUUAGGGGUAGUGUUCUAUAACUUAGGGCGUUCUAUACUUAAAAAAUCUUAUAGGCUAUUCUAUAACUAUAGAUUAUUCUAAACCUUUAGGGCAUUCUAUUAAUGUUUUAAAAAAUCUAGUAGGCUAUUUUAUAAGCUUAUAGCGUUCUAUAACUUUAGGGCGUUCUAUAACUUAGGGCGUUCUAUAACUUAGGGCGUUCUAUAACUUAUGGCGUUCUAUAACUUUUUAUUUUUAGGGGUAGUGUUCUAUAACUUAAGGCGUUCUAUACCUUUUGUUUAUUCUAUUACUUUAGUGCUUUCUAUAACUUUAGACUAUUCUAUAAUAGUAGCUAUUAUAUCCUUUUUAUAAUCCUUAUAGUAUUAUACUAUUAUCUAUUAUUCUUUACUCUUAAGUAUAUCCUUAUAUUUUAUAAAUCUUUUUCUUUACUAGCUAGUCCUACUAUACUUUUUUAUAACCUACUAGUAUUAAAUAAUACCUUUAUAUUCUUCCUCUAUACUAUCUCUAUUUCUUGCCUUAUAUAUUAAGUAGAUAUAGAUAGAGCUAAUAGAUCUAUAGUUAAUAUAGAUAAAGUAGUUAUAGUAGAGUAUAGAUAUUAGAGUAGAGAUCCUUAUCUAUAUAUUUACCUACUACUAAUAGAAUUCUAAGUUGCUCUUAUCUAGCGAAUACGGGUUUAUAGUUUGUAUAGGGCUACGCAUGUCUAUAUGGUUUUACAUAUAAAAAAGUGUACCUCUAAGCUAUUUUCUGCUGCAAUAACCCCGCAACGUAAAAAUUAAACUAAAACCUAUUCCUAUAAUAUAUAAGGAGGGCAAAUAGAUUCUUAAAUACUAAAUACCUAACUAACUAACUAAGGUUAAAUCUGCUACGCGCAGUUCUUAGAUUAGGCAGUUAAACUAGCGUUAUUAGGCACUAAGGGGGCAAUUUUUGCUUGUGUCCGCGUCUAUACUCCCUAUAACUCCCUGUUGUUAGCGCUCUACGCCUGUUUUAGCGGCAGUUAGACUAAAUUUAAAAGUUUUAGUUUUAUAAUAGCUAGCCUUAUUUCCUAGAUUUCUGCCUAGUUUAGAUUCGCUCUAAUUAGUAGGUAAUUAGGGGCUUAGAGAUUACUCUUCUACUUAACUAGGCAGGCCUAGGCCUAUAUACUAAAGCAACCCUGCUAUUAUGCCUAGUUUUAUAGUUAGCACCUAAAGUCCUACUAUUAAAGUUUUAGUAGUAGGCAAAAUUUAGGGUCUAUAGAUAGCUAGCACUGCUAAACUAUUUAAUAGAUCUUAGGGGAUAGCCCUGCCUAGCAUCCGCUCCUAGUAAGCGUAGUAAAGCGUAGGUUUUCUCUACUUAAGGCAUGUAUGUGGCGAGUUUAAACACGUAGAAACGCCUAUUAGGCUUUGUUACAGACUAUUCCUUAAGAAACUUAGUAGGGGUAAUUAAAUUAGUUGCUAGUUGUAACUAGUGCCUUGUGUGCUAUUAUGCUAGUAGCUAGAAUUGCUUCUGCGAUUUCUUAUCACGUACUUUCUGCCUUCUUUUAGGGGUAGUGCUUGUGCGCUUUAGCGUAUUAGGUAUUAGGAUUGUUACCUAGUUAAUUCUGCUAGUAGUUAUAUACUUAUCUUAAAGAUUAAGCUAUACAUGUCUAAGUAUAAGUAAUUAUACUGUGAAACUACAAAUAGCUUAUUAAAUUAGUUAUUGUUUAUUUAAUAGUACCUUACUACUUAGAUAACUAUAGUAAUUCUAGAGCUAAUACAUGCUAAAAACCCUAACUUUAGAAGGGGUGUAUUUAUUAGAUAAAAAACUAACGCCCUUUAGGGCUUCUUAGUGAUUUAUAAUAACUUUACAGAUCGCAUAGCCUUACGCUAGUAAUAGUUUAUUUAAAUUUCUGCCCUAUUAACUUUU
RNAcentral lists this ribosomal RNA (6497 nucleotides) under Plenodomus lingam JN3. RNAcentral's name for it is "28S_rRNA". The stretch from base 305 to 3653 matches the Rfam family "Eukaryotic large subunit ribosomal RNA". Lineage: Eukaryota; Fungi; Ascomycota; Dothideomycetes; Pleosporales; Leptosphaeriaceae. The record is from RNAcentral.